This 658-nucleotide long non-coding RNA is filed under the name Mus pahari (shrew mouse). RNAcentral's name for it is "RIKEN cDNA 1700016F12 gene (MGP_PahariEiJ_G0004533.1)". The record is from RNAcentral. Lineage: Eukaryota; Metazoa; Chordata; Mammalia; Rodentia; Muridae.
AAGCUGUCCUCUGAAAUAGUCUCCCUGGUGGUUUAUACCCACCAUACUCACUGCUGCCUGAGACCCUGUUCCCGAGCGCUUCCAAAUCUUAAGACUGCCAGUGCACAAACGCUGAUUGGGGGCAAGAGACCCACAUCUGGUGCCUGAACAGGGACACACCAGGAGGUGUGGAAGAGAAAUGGAGAACCCUCUACCAAGGGAUGGCCACCAGCCACACUAUUUGCCAGGAAGUGGUUGCUGAUUCUCUGAAACCUUAUUUUAAAAAGGGAAUACACACUUAUCAAUCUCCUGGUUAAACAACCACUGUACUCACUACCACCUGAGACUCUCCUUCCCAGCUCCUCUGAAUCCUGACACUUCUGACACACAUUGGCCAAUUGGGAGCUGGGACCCCACACAUAACUACCUGUAACUCCAGCUCCAGGAGAUUAUAGAAGGAGUUGGCCUUUGAGGGCACCUGAACUCAUGUGAACACUGCCCCACACCUAUGCAUAAUUAAAAGUAAUAAAAAUAAAUUUUGAAGAUAAAAUGAGAAGACGCUCAGUACAGUAGUAGAACAUAACCCUUAAUAAUGUUAUUUUAAGCCUUGGUUGGGGAUUCACACUUGUACUUAUAGCUACUAAAUUUGUUAUAAAAUUAUUAAUUAAAAAUUUUUCAU